CCGAUGCUCAAGUCAGUUCUCUACUUCAACAAGAAUGGAGUGCUCGAAUGGAAAUUUUAGCAGAGUUUCGAGAUACAAAUUAGAGCUUAGAGAAUAACGUAUCUGGGGUCCCCUUUUUAUAGACGGAGGGUGCAACAGACUAAUAGCGACAUUUGUAACCGCCUGGUAGUGGGCCGUUCAGGGCUAGGAGGAGUUUGUUAUGAAGAGUAGUGGAGUGGAGUCGUGGCUAUCACCAUGGCCUGCC
This 244-nucleotide long non-coding RNA is filed under the name Elaeis guineensis (African oil palm). RNAcentral describes it as "long non-coding RNA (EGUI_LNC035055)". Lineage: Eukaryota; Viridiplantae; Streptophyta; Magnoliopsida; Arecales; Arecaceae. The record is from RNAcentral.